UACGAAGGGGGCUAGCGUUGCUCGGAAUUACUGGGCGUAAAGGGCGCGUAGGCGGAUCGACAAGUUGGGGGUGAAAGCCCGGGGCUCAACCUCGGAAUUGCCUUCAAAACUGUUGAUCUAGAGUACGGGAGAGGUGAGUGGAACUCCGAGUGUAGAGGUGAAAUUCGUAGAUAUUCGGAAGAACACCAGUGGCGAAGGCGACUCACUGGCCCGUUACUGACGCUGAGGCGCGAAAGCGUGGGGAGCAAACAGG
Molecule: ribosomal RNA, 253 nt
Filed under: uncultured bacterium
Lineage: Bacteria
Description: partial 16S ribosomal RNA
Rfam family: Bacterial small subunit ribosomal RNA
Source: RNAcentral